AACGCACAUUGCGCCUCUUGGUAUUCCGAGGGGCAUGUCUGUUUGAGCGUCAGUACACACCUCUUGUGAGCUUCAUUGUGAUCAGGGCUCUGGGGCCGGCGGACGGGUCUUUGGCGUGCGAACGCCCUCGCCCCGACCGCCGCCCCUAAUGUGGCACGCUUGCGGACCUCCAGUCAGCGAUCAACGUAGUAAACUCGAAAGAAGCUCGUAGAGACCUGGUGGAAGGCUUCGCCUGAAUCAAAACCCUUUCUAUGGUUUGACCUCAGAUCAGACAAGGAUACCCGCUGAACUUAA
Molecule: unclassified non-coding RNA, 294 nt
Filed under: uncultured fungus
Lineage: Eukaryota; Fungi
Also listed under: 1 other name
Description: partial contains 5.8S ribosomal RNA, internal transcribed spacer 2, and large subunit ribosomal RNA
Rfam family: 5.8S ribosomal RNA (bases 1-52)
Source: RNAcentral